CUAGAACACCCCAUGGAUUUAGGAGCCACUGGUAAGGUUAUGACUUCCCCCAUUGGAUGAAAUAAAUGGACUCAGGAAGGAAUAAAACCCAAGGUCUCCUCUUCACCAGCAUCAUUCAGAACCACCUCACUCCUCAGGGGCCACAGAAGUGCUGAAUAAAAUGAAAAGGACAAUCUCCGAAGACUUUUUAUUUAAAAAAAAAAUUUUCAGCAGUGAAAUAGUUGUUUCACUGGGAAGAAGGUCCACUCCGCUGCUCAUACCACCAUCCUGGAAGUCAAUCUGAUUGAGUUUUAUAAGAAAAGAAAAGUCAUGGAUACCUUGAAGUCAACAGCACUCAAAGAAUCAUAGUGCAUGACAUCAGACUGUCAAUGUGGGAAGUGAAAACACGUAAUGGGAAAGUCUCAUUGUUGACAGUUUUUCUAUUGGUGUCAUAUGCCAGUGCUCUCUUUCAUAAACUUGGUGCACCCAGCAGAAGGAAACAAUAUCACUGAAAUGCAGCUAAGAGUUGAUCCAGAAUUCUCUCCUGCUUUGGAAAUGAAAUCCUUGAUACCUAACUAUGAAAUUUAGCCAUACUGAUUAAAAGCACCUGCUAGAGGCUGCAGAGAAUAAAGCAAACAAUUACACUUAAA
Long non-coding RNA from Pan troglodytes (chimpanzee), 629 nucleotides. RefSeq lists it as uncharacterized. The record is from RefSeq and is a predicted model, not a curated record. Lineage: Eukaryota; Metazoa; Chordata; Mammalia; Primates; Hominidae. The transcript has 2 exons.